AGCAGCUAGCAGUGUGGAGAGACUGAGGAUUGCCAGAUGAAGGACAGCCGCCUGAGUGCCAUUAUAACAUAAAGAACCCAAGCCGAGGCAGAACAGGCAGGGAUCUAUGGACUGAUGAUAAAUAACCAGGAGCCUUAUCUGACCUGGCAUAAACCCACCGUUUUCCUCAGCACAGUGGACUCUGAGGAGGACGAGCUGGAGGAAGAUGAGAUACACAUUCUGUUUGUCCUCAGGCUAAUGUUCUCCAAAGCUCAUUACGGCUUAAACGGAGGAGGUGGAGAACUCACACGAAACAUCAAAAGAAGCCGAACCACAGGGGUGAUCACAGAGGAGAGAGAGACAGAGAGAGAGAGAGACAGAAGGAUGGACAGAAGUUAGAAAGGCCACCUAUCUGUGCAGCUGUGCAGUCUGGACUUAUGGACCUCUGCACAGUUUACCCCUGACUGUGCAGCCAAUCACCCAUCCAACAUCACCUAUAUGUUUUUGCAGUUCAUGCACCUCUUCUAGGCCUCACCACAGAUGUACAUGAGAAAUCCUGCAAAGAUGAGGUCAGUUCUUUGUUAGAACGGUGCUCUGAGAACAAUAUUAGUCUCAAUAUGAGCAAAAACAAUAGAGAUUAUUGUGGACCACAGGAAGUAGCAGCGGGGUGGUCACUCUCUUUAGACCUCAGUGGAGCUGGAGUGGAAAGUGUUAGCAGUGUUAAGUUCCUGAUGACCUCACCUGCAGCCAGUAGCGCCAGCUGAAUGCAAGUUGGACCAUUGGUUAGAGUGUAAAGUCUGAGUAUGUAAAACUCAGUUAAUGUAAAAUUAGUGAUAUGCAGCAUUUCUGUUGCACCGUAGACACAUAGGGCCCUAUUUUAGCGAUCUUUAGGCAAGCCGUCAACUGUGCAGCUUCAUAUAAGGCCUGUCAGUGUGUCUUUGCUAUCGUAACGUCGGGAAAAGUAUCCCUUGCGCACAAAAUGCUUGUACAAAUUCUCUUAAGUAAUCAUGGUUGUGUUUUGGGCAUAACGUAACGUGCAAUAAACCAUUCAGUGUGUCAUUUGCCA
This 1045-nucleotide long non-coding RNA is filed under the name Astyanax mexicanus (Mexican tetra). Its description in RNAcentral is "lncRNA (ENSAMXG00005010468.1)". The record is from RNAcentral. Lineage: Eukaryota; Metazoa; Chordata; Actinopteri; Characiformes; Acestrorhamphidae.